This 497-nucleotide ribosomal RNA is filed under the name uncultured bacterium. RNAcentral describes it as "partial 16S ribosomal RNA". It matches the Rfam family "Bacterial small subunit ribosomal RNA", at positions 28 to 507 of the family's 1533-position model. The record is from RNAcentral.
GACGAACGCUGGCGGCGUGCCUAAUACAUGCAAGUUGAGCGCUGAAGGUUGGUACUUGUACCAACUGGAUGAGCAGCGAACGGGUGAGUAACGCGUGGGGAAUCUGCCUUUGAGCGGGGGACAACAUUUGGAAACGAAUGCUAAUACCGCAUAAAAACUUUAAACACAAGUCUUAAGUUUGAAAGAUGCAAUUGCAUCACUCAAAGAUGAUCCCGCGUUGUAUUAGCUAGUUGGUGAGGUAAAGGCUCACCAAGGCGAUGAUACAUAGCCGACCUGAGAGGGUGAUCGGCCACAUUGGGACUGAGACACGGCCCAAACUCCUACGGGAGGCAGCAGUAGGGAAUCUUCAGCAAUGGACGAAAGUCUGACCGAGCAACGCCGCGUGAGUGAAGAAGGUUUUCGGAUCGUAAAACUCUGUUGGUAGAGAAGAACGUUGGUGAGAGUGGAAAGCUCAUCAAGUGACGGUAACUACCCAGAAAGGGACGGCUAACUACGUG